Molecule: ribosomal RNA, 492 nt
Filed under: uncultured bacterium
Lineage: Bacteria
Description: partial 16S ribosomal RNA
Rfam family: Bacterial small subunit ribosomal RNA
Source: RNAcentral
AGUGAACGCUGGCGGUAGGCCUAACACAUGCAAGUCGAACGGCAGCACAGUAAGAGCUUGCUCUUACGGGUGGCGAGUGGCGGACGGGUGAGGAAUACAUCGGAAUCUACUUUUUCGUGGGGGAUAACGUAGGGAAACUUACGCUAAUACCGCAUACGACCUACGGGUGAAAGCAGGGGAUCUUCGGACCUUGCGCGAUUGAAUGAGCCGAUGUCGGAUUAGAUAGUUGGCGGGGUAAAGGCCCACCCAGGCGACGAUCCGUAGCUGGUCUGAGAGGAUGAUCAGCCACACUGAGACUGAACCACGACCCAGACUCCUACGGGAGGCAGCAGUGGGGAAUUUUGGACAAUGGGCGCAAGCCUUAUCCAGCCAUACCGCGUGGGGGAAGAAGGCCUUCGGGUUGUAAAGCCCUUUUGUUGGGAAAGAAAAGCAGCAGGUUAAUACCCCGCUGUUCUGACGGUACCCAAAGAAUAAGCACCGGCUAACUUCGUG